CAUCACGAGGAAACAUCUACAGAUAGUUGUCUCUACAUGUUGUAGAAGAUCAUCACGGGGAAACACCUACAGAUAGUUGUCUCUACAUGUUGUAGAAGAUCAUCACGGGGAAACAUCUACAGAUAGUUGUCUCUACAUGUUGUAGAAGGUCAUCACGGGGAAACAUCUACAGAUAGUUGUCUCUACAUCUUGUAGAAGGUCAUCACGGGGAAACAUCUACAGAUAGUUGUCCCUACAUGUUGUAGGUCAUCACGGGGAAACAUCUACAGAUAGUUGUCUCUACAUGUUGUAGACGAUCAUCACGGGGAAACAUCUACAGAUAGUUGUCUCUACAUGUUGUAGAAGGUCAUCACGGGGAAACAUCUACAGAUAGUUGUCUCUACAUGUUGUAGAAGGUCAUCACGGGGAAACAUCUACAGAUAGUUGUCUCUACAUGUUGUAGAAGGUCAUCACGGGGAAACAUCUACAGAUAGUUGUCUCUACAUGUUGUAGAAGGUCAUCA
This is a long non-coding RNA of Haliotis rufescens (red abalone), 502 nucleotides long. RefSeq lists it as uncharacterized. The transcript is spliced from 3 exons. NCBI's taxonomy places the organism in Eukaryota, Metazoa, Mollusca, Gastropoda, Lepetellida, Haliotidae. The record is from RefSeq and is a predicted model, not a curated record.